Molecule: ribosomal RNA, 496 nt
Filed under: uncultured bacterium
Lineage: Bacteria
Description: partial 16S ribosomal RNA
Rfam family: Bacterial small subunit ribosomal RNA
Source: RNAcentral
GAUGAACGCUGGCGGCGUGCCUAAUACAUGCAAGUCGAGCGAACAGACGAGGAGCUUGCUCCUCUGACGUUAGCGGCGGACGGGUGAGUAACACGUGGAUAACCUACCUAUAAGACUGGGAUAACUUCGGGAAACCGGAGCUAAUACCGGAUAAUAUAUUGAACCGCAUGGUUCAAUAGUGAAAGACGGUUUUGCUGUCACUUUAGAUGGAUCCGCGCCGCAUUAGCUAGUUGGUAAGGUAACGGCUUACCAAGGCGACGAUGCGUAGCCGACCUGAGAGGGUGAUCGGCCACACUGGAACUGAGACACGGUCCAGACUCCUACGGGAGGCAGCAGUAGGGAAUCUUCCGCAAUGGGCGAAAGCCUGACGGAGCAACGCCGCGUGAGUGAUGAAGGUCUUCGGAUCGUAAAACUCUGUUAUUAGGGAAGAACAAAUGUGUAAGUAACUAUGCACGUCUUGACGGUACCUAAUCAGAAAGCCACGGCUAACUACGUG